Molecule: ribosomal RNA, 305 nt
Filed under: uncultured bacterium
Lineage: Bacteria
Description: bacterial SSU rRNA
Rfam family: Bacterial small subunit ribosomal RNA
Source: RNAcentral
UGGAGCCUACGGGAGGCAGCAGUGGGGAAUAUUGCACAAUGGGGGAAACCCUGAUGCAGCGACGCCGCGUGAGUGAGGAAGUAUUUCGGUAUGUAAAGCUCUAUCAGCAGGGAAGAAAAUGACGGUACCUGACUAAGAAGCCCCGGCUAACUACGUGCCAGCAGCCGCGGUAAUACGUAGGGGGCAAGCGUUAUCCGGAUUUACUGGGUGUAAAGGGAGCGUAGACAGACUUGCAAGUCUGAUGUGAAAAUCCGGGGCCCAACCCCGGAACUGCAUUGGAAACUGUAUAUCUAGAGUGUCGGAGG